Molecule: unclassified non-coding RNA, 329 nt
Filed under: plant metagenome
Description: partial contains 5.8S ribosomal RNA, internal transcribed spacer 2, and large subunit ribosomal RNA
Rfam family: 5.8S ribosomal RNA (bases 1-105)
Source: RNAcentral
GAAAUGCGAUAAGUAAUGUGAAUUGCAGAAUUCCGUGAAUCAUCGAAUCUUUGAACGCACAUUGCGCCCUCUGGUAUUCCGGGGGGCAUGCCUGUCCGAGCGUCAUUGCGAACCCCUCAAGCACGGCUUGUGUGAUGGGCCCUCCCGCGUCUUGGUCGUCAAGACGGGCCCGAAAAGCAGUGGCGGCUUCGCGGUUAUCCGAUCAGCCAGAGCGUAUGGGGACUUUCUCUCUGUCACACGCCCGCGGCGCGGACCGACGCCUGUCGACCUUUAUUCAUCUUUUUAUCGGUUGACCUCGGAUCAGGUAGGGAUACUCGCUGAACUUAAGC